Molecule: small RNA, 574 nt
Filed under: Theobroma cacao (cacao)
Lineage: Eukaryota; Viridiplantae; Streptophyta; Magnoliopsida; Malvales; Malvaceae
Description: sRNA Tc07v2_g014880
Source: RNAcentral
GUGAGCAACGAUGGUUCGCUGGGCAGAAGCAAGAACAUGUCUCCCUUUACCGCAGCACUAAAUUCAAGAUUACUGCCAAGGGAACGUCAGAAAAGAAGGAAGUUGAAAAAGCAGGGCACCAGUAUGAUGAGGGGGUUGACAGCACAGAUGGAAGAGGUUACUUCGGAACAAGAAAGGAGGAAAGAGGAGCAAAGACAGCUAAAAGACAAACUUAAAGCCAUAGAAGCUAAAUGUGACCAACUCCGCUAAGGGACCGCCAUCGUAAUACAGCAGAGUGCCAGCACCCAAAUCCGGCUCGCUCUCAUGUUUCAAAUCUUAAGAGCAAGAGAAAAUAGAGACUUUACCAAAGCAGCCCAACUUGCAUAAUCUCUUCGUGAACUCAUAAUGAAACAGAAGGCAUAGUUGGGAGUAUUUGGCGGUGGCUUGCUUGAUCAAGCAUUGCUUCAUUCCAGAAUUUCAGCUAAAUUUCUUUGUUUUAUUAUCAAUUUUUGCACUUUCUUAUUGGAUUUUAGCCAUCGUAGAUUGUGGUAGUGAUUUAUAGUUUAUACAAAUAUAUGUUGAAACAAUAAUCAUU